Long non-coding RNA from Gossypium arboreum, 422 nucleotides. RefSeq lists it as uncharacterized. Lineage: Eukaryota; Viridiplantae; Streptophyta; Magnoliopsida; Malvales; Malvaceae. The transcript is spliced from 2 exons. The record is from RefSeq and is a predicted model, not a curated record.
GGUUGGAGGGAAUGGAAUAGUCAUUCCCUCCUUAUUCUUAAAUGAAUAGUUAAGCCAUAGUUUGCUUCACCGUUUUCUUCAUUCGACGAAUGGCUAUUCCUCUCCUAUUCAUCUAAUUUGCCGAAUCAUCAUUCAGUGAAGGGGGCUAAGAAUAAUCUAUUCAACAAUGGACGUAAUAGCAAAAUUUCCCCUCCAGACAAUUUUACCCUGUAUUUGUUCAACCAUCGUUCGUCAAUUUCGUCGUUGUUGUGAAAGUGGUGCCUCUGUCGAUUCAUCUCCGACUCAUUCCCUGCCUCCGCAAAGCUGCCUCCUUUCCCUUGUGAGAACCUCUAGAAUUUGGACCAAUUUGAACGUGAUGGGUUUAUAGUGGAUGAUGAAGAGGAGGAGGAAGAUGAAAAUGAUCAAGUUUUGAAAAGCAAGAA